UACGUAGGUGGCCUUGUAAGUCAGUGGUGAAAUCCUGCCGCUUAACGGUAGAACUGCCAUUGAUACUGCAAGGCUUGAGUAUAGUUGAGGUAGGCGGAAUGUGUAGUGUAGCGGUGAAAUGCUUAGAUAUUACACAGAACUCCGAUUGCGAAGGUAGCUUACUAAACUAUAACUGACACUGAGGUACGAAAGCGUGGGGAGCGAACAGGAUUAGAUACCCUGGUAGUCC
This 229-nucleotide ribosomal RNA is filed under the name uncultured bacterium. RNAcentral describes it as "partial 16S ribosomal RNA". It matches the Rfam family "Bacterial small subunit ribosomal RNA", at positions 568 to 796 of the family's 1533-position model. The record is from RNAcentral.